GCCGCAGUAGCUCAGUGGUAGAGCGCACCCUUGGUAAGGGUGAGGCCGAGUGUUCAAUCCACUCCUGCGGCACCA
RNAcentral lists this transfer RNA (75 nucleotides) under Hyphomicrobiales bacterium. RNAcentral describes it as "tRNA-Thr". It matches the Rfam family "tRNA". From Rfam's summary of the family: Transfer RNA (tRNA) molecules are approximately 80 nucleotides in length. RNAcentral also lists the same sequence under 5 other names. Lineage: Bacteria; Pseudomonadati; Pseudomonadota; Alphaproteobacteria; Hyphomicrobiales. The record is from RNAcentral.